Molecule: ribosomal RNA, 1300 nt
Filed under: Semibalanus balanoides (northern acorn barnacle)
Lineage: Eukaryota; Metazoa; Arthropoda; Thecostraca; Balanomorpha; Balanidae
Description: 16S ribosomal RNA
Rfam family: Archaeal large subunit ribosomal RNA (bases 588-1300)
Source: RNAcentral
UUGACAAAAAUAGUUUUUAGAAAAAAAAUGUUUGAAGUAUAAAUAUUUUAGUAGUGUUAACGAAACAUAAAAUAAACUAUAGAGAAUUAGUACUGUGAAGGAAUUAUUGAAAUAAUUGAAAAUUUUUCAUGAAAAAAGUACUUAUAAAUUAAGGUACCUUUUGUAUUAGUGGUUAUUAAAAUAAUAUUAUAAAAUUUUUUCUCGAAAAUAAAAGAUCUAAUUAAAUUUUAAAGUUCUUGUAUCAAAAAGAUUUUUUAAGUUUCAUUAGUUGUGAAAUUCUAAUCGCUUUUAUUAAUAUCUAGUAACUUCAGAAAUAAAUUUAGUUUAGAAUGCUAAGGAAUUCUUUAUUGUAAAGUAAUUCUAAAACCAUUUUUAGAUUUUAGGGGAUGAGCUCUAAAAUCAAUAUAAAAGGAUUAAUUCUUAUGUUUUUUCUAUAGGCUUAGAAUUAGCCAUGAGAUAGUGUUAUAAAAUAAAACUUUAAGUUUAAGAUUUAGUUUCCUUUUAAAUUUAUGAGGUUAAUUUUAAAAUUUUUUUUAAAAUGAAAAUAUGAUAACAUUAGUAGAUAAUAAAAUAAGGGGAAACUUUUAAAUUUCCCAGCGUAUUUUUUAUGAAUAAAUUUAACAAAAGAACUCGGCAAACAAAAUUUCCGAAUGUUUAACAAAAACAUUUCCUCCUAGUUUAGGAGGUAAGGCCUGCUCACUGAAUAUUUAAAGAGCCGCAGUAUCCUAACUGUGCUAAGGUAGCAUAAUCAUUUGUCUUUUAAUUGGAGACUGGUAUGAAUGGCUAAACGAGAAAUUAACUUUUUUUGUUAUAUAAAUUGAACUUAAUUUUUCAGUGAAAAAGCUGAAAUUUUUCAGAAAGACGAGAAGACCCUAUAGAGUUUUAUGUCUCUAAAUAUAUUAUCUAAUUUGAUUUUUAUAGAUUUCAUAUCAAAGGACAUUUUGUUGGGGCGACAUUAAGAUAUAAAAAACUCUUUAUUUUCAAAAUUUUUAUAAAAAGUUUGCUUGAUCCUCUAAAAGAGAUCAAAAGAAAAAAUUACCUUAGGGAUAACAGCGUAAUCUUUUUUGAGAGUUCUAAUCGACAAAAAGGUUUGCGACCUCGAUGUUGGACUAAAAUUUAGGCAGGGUGCAGCAGUUCUGCUUUUAGGUCUGUUCGACCUAUAAUAUUUUACACGAUCUGAGUUCAGACCGGCGUAAGCCAGGUUGGUUUCUAUCUUCUGAUUUUACAAAGUCAACUUAGUACGAAAGGAUUGGUUGAUUAUAAUAAUUAUAAUAAAAAGAGGAUUACUAAAAUUUUCUAU